This 1311-nucleotide long non-coding RNA is filed under the name Homo sapiens (human). RNAcentral describes it as "HSALNT0305978". The record is from RNAcentral. Lineage: Eukaryota; Metazoa; Chordata; Mammalia; Primates; Hominidae.
AAUAAUGGAGUGCUUCAUGGUACUGAAGGAAGCAAGAGCUCUGCAAAUAGAGGAAAGUGUCUUACAUUGGUUACUGAGAUGUUCAAAAGGGUUGCCUAUUACAUGCCAAAGAAAGCAACUGAAAGCAGGAGAAAUUGCCAAAUCCCUCAGAAUAAAUGAAAGAAAUGUCCAAGCAACAGAGGAUGAUGUGGCCUGGCCUGGGCUAUCAUUAAGUGGAAAGAUGUGAAGCAUACCUCUUAUGUGGAAUUCUCAGCCCAGUGAUCUGAAAAGUCAAAAGAGGGAAGCACGACUAGUAAGAAGGUUUUGGAGAGCACUACUAUAGCAAAAGUCAUGAGGACCAAGCUCUGAGAGGAGUCCCAUUUGAGCUGAGAGCUGUUCAUGGCUCUAGGAAGCUUGGACUCGGGCCUAUAUUCUUGGUCUAAAUAUUCUAAAUGUAACUGGAAGCCAUUAAAGAGUUUUAGGCAAAGAAAUAAAGGAUCACUUUGGCUGCUGUGCACUGAAGGAUCAGAUUAAUAUGGAGGCUAUUGAGGUCUGGGAGAAAGAUGGUGGCUUUAGAGUAGGAUGGUAGCAAUAAAGAUAAAGUGGUUGGAAUCAAGAUUUAUUUGGAGGUUACUUGAUGGGUUGAGUGUGGGAGGCGAGAAAGAGACCAAAGAUACAGCCCAAGUUUUUAGCAUGAUGUAGUAAAGAACAGGGAGGAGAAGAUUUGGGUAUCAGAUGUGGCAGUGGUAGAAAUAUAAAUCUAAUAAUUAUAUUUUUUAUAUAUAGUAAUAUCACUGUUACUUAGACUAUGUAUUUCUCUCUAAUCAGACUUUCUUAUUCACAAAAGGUAGUUUUUAUUUUUUUAAGUUGCUUGACAGAUUCCUUAUUGAAUCAUGGGUCUAGAAAUUUUCAUUGUUGCUCUUGGUAUUGCAAAGGAAAAAUCAGAACUAUAAAACCCAUAUUAAAUUAUGACUUUUGUUGCUAAAUCAUUCAACUUAUACAUUUAAUGUGAACUAACAUUAUUUUAUAGUCACAAUAGAGCUUAUUUUUAUUGCCUGUAGCAGUUGGGAAUUGCAUGCAAUCAUGCUAAUUGUGACAGAGAUAUUACAUGGAAUAAGCAUGUGAUUCCAAUUUAGUUCACAGACAACAGGUGCCCACAUACAAAUAUAACCACUCAGAGGGCAGACUUGUCAAUUUUGGUGGGAGUACCCAGAAGUGAAAGAGGGAAGACUCAGCUCCUCCCUACAUUUUCCUUCAAAUCAAAAUUAAGACAGAGAGAAGAGCAAGGCAAGAGGAAGGAACUGCAAUAUCAGAAUUUAUAUCUUAGCUGAG